UUUUUCCUACGGGGGGCAGCAGUGGGGAAUAUUGCACAAUGGGGGAAACCCUGAUGCAGCGACGCCGCGUGAGUGAAGAAGCGUUUCGGCGCGUAAAGCUCUGUCAGCGGGGAAGAAACACGGUUCGCGAGAGCCGCGGACGGUACCCGACCAAGAAGCCCCGGCUAACUACGUGCCAGCAGCCGCGGGAAUAAGUAGGGGGCAAGCGAUAUCCGGAUUCACUGGGGGUAAAGGGAGCGUAGACG
RNAcentral lists this ribosomal RNA (245 nucleotides) under uncultured bacterium. RNAcentral's name for it is "partial 16S ribosomal RNA". It matches the Rfam family "Bacterial small subunit ribosomal RNA", at positions 333 to 577 of the family's 1533-position model. The record is from RNAcentral.